AAAGGGUUUUGAACUCGGUAGUCAUGUUGUGUGAUUUUUCUUUCUUUUUUUCUCGUGCAUCACGUAUACUCUGGGGGUUAAUUUCACUCUUUUGACUCUUUUUCUACUCAAAUUUUCCGAGCAUUUUAUAUCUGUUAGAAUCUAAGGUCUCGGCAAGUGCAUUUUUCUCUUUUGUUUUUCUUUUCUUUUUUUUUUUUUUUUUUUCUCUUUUUUUUUUCUUUUAAAGAAAAUACAUACUAUUUUUCUUUUUGUAUGAUCUCAUCUUAUGCACUUGCCUUCUCUUUCAAGAUUUCCACCCCAAACUUAGUUUUAUUGCACAUCUUGCAAUUCACACAAUCAUACCGAGUUAUGACACAAAAGGAAAUGGAUGAUUAAAAGUUAACAGGGGGUUCA
RNAcentral lists this long non-coding RNA (393 nucleotides) under Lathyrus oleraceus (garden pea). RNAcentral's name for it is "Pisum sativum (pea) long non-coding RNA (PSAT_LNC012282)". The record is from RNAcentral. Lineage: Eukaryota; Viridiplantae; Streptophyta; Magnoliopsida; Fabales; Fabaceae.